This 751-nucleotide long non-coding RNA is filed under the name Citrus sinensis (sweet orange). Its description in RNAcentral is "long non-coding RNA (CSIN_LNC005717)". Lineage: Eukaryota; Viridiplantae; Streptophyta; Magnoliopsida; Sapindales; Rutaceae. The record is from RNAcentral.
AAAAAAAAAAAAUUACGAUUCGAACUAAAAAGGAAUAUGUGUGUUAAUUCCUUCUACAUGUAUUAUAAAUAUACUAGUAAAGAUUUAGACGUCCUUAUUUUCCCAUAUAAUUAUAAUAACAAAAACAAACAAAAUUCAUGUUAUUCGUGGAGGGCCAAUGAAUAAUGUUACAUGCACAUCUGGUGAUAGGCACAUGCAUGAAAUUGGACCACAGCUCAGGUGUUAUGGUUUUUGAUGACCCCUUGCUCCAUCUAGCCACAAAUUUGAAGCAAAUGAUAGGUUUUAAAAAAUCUGAAAUUGAUGAGCUCCAGACAUAUGCUAGAAACAAAUUGAAACAAUUAAAAUAAAUUAUUUGCUUCAGUUUUGUGGCUAAAAAUGAAUUGAAGCAAAUAGAGAAACCAAAAAGGUUGAAAGCUAUAAUAUAUGGUGGAGAAUCUAAUCUUUAUGGAGGAGGCAUCAGGUAACCACGUAAAAGGGACAGAUUUAUCAUCUAGGCGAGCCCUAAUGGUUGGUCCUUGGUAGGAUUAGACAUUAGAGGCAGCGAUCCGAGUUUUAGAAAUUCAUCAAAAACAUCCCUGAAAGACGAUUUCUAGCAAAUUUUAGGUGGCUAAUUAGUCAUGAAUUCAAGAUAUAUAACAAAGGUUGGAUUCGAAGGUAGUGUGCUUUAAGGACACACCUUAAGAUAAUAAGAUCAUGUGAACUGAAGGUUGCGACAUAUCACAUCGCCGUGCAAUUAAAGAGACAAAACAAA